RNA transcript from Hippoglossus stenolepis (Pacific halibut), 1335 nucleotides. RefSeq lists it as uncharacterized. The transcript has 6 exons. Lineage: Eukaryota; Metazoa; Chordata; Actinopteri; Pleuronectiformes; Pleuronectidae. The record is from RefSeq and is a predicted model, not a curated record.
ACUACAGCCAUAUAGAUAGAAAGAGAGAGACAGAGAGAGAGACAGAGAGAGGGGGUGGGGUGGGGGUGGCUAUAGGGUUGCGUAGUCACUUGUGACUACCUCAUUUACCCCCGACACCCGACAUUGCACGGAGCAAAUAGCGGAUAUAUCAGCUGUAUGUGUGAUCACGGAGGGGAAUCGCAGGAUGACCGGCGUGGAGAAAUGUGCGUCCUGUGUGAACCGCCGGGCGGCUGCGCGCAGCUACACGGCGCAGUGCGCCGUGGCGCUGCGCUUCCGCGUCCUGUGUGAACCCGGCGUAAACCACCUACCGCUCAAAAAACAUACCGGGUUUCCAAGAUGACGGGGAAAUUGUGCGGACUGUGUUACAACACAUUUGCAAACCUAAAACAACACCUGCUGCUGUCACAUAAAGUGACAAACAAACAGGAGUUGCAGCUCCUCCUGCAAUACGGAAAUGCCCGAACUACAAAGAGGUUGUCAUGCUGCAUAUGUCAUAAGAAACAGCUUGUCCGCCUGGACAAACACCUGCAGGAGACACACACCUUGACGUCCGCAGAUGAGCGAGAACCUCUAAUGAAGGACGCCAAGAGGGCCGCCAUCGUCCUGGAACUCUCAGCACUGCGGCAGUCCGGCCCCGAAAUUCCUAUGGUCUCAACAUUGGACAGAACCGCUACUGAGGAACUUGCCUGUUAACUUGCUGAAUAUAGCGUGGCAGGAUGCUGGGAUGAAGGGCACCAUCGAUUUCACCAAAAUCAGGAGCAGCGUGGCCACUCAAGCGAACAAGUUCCUUACAGAGAAAGAGAGACGGCAGGUGACGAGCCAGUGUACGAUGAUGAACCUGACAGCAGCUUGCCACUGUCUGCGGAGGAGUUGAGACAGAUGAAGCGGAAAAGGGGAAUGGAGGUUUCGUCUUCCGGAGAAGAGGACCUGGAAGCAGAGAAAAGCAGUGACUAUGUUAUCCCCAGUAAGUCAGUAUGUUCAGUGGUGGUCGACUAUUAACCAUUAACCAUGUUCCUGGUUAAUUUCAUUCUACCGCUUGUGAUAAAUGGGAACUCCACCAUUAAUUGUAAAUAAUUCAAAUUAAGCAAGUUAAUAUUUCUCACAUUGGCUCACAAACAUACAGAAAGUCUGGGUGUAUAAAAACAUUUCUGAAGUAUAAUGUUGUUUUUGUUAAAUUACUGUUACUGUUGUAUUGAUGAUUGUAAAUUUGUAAAGUUUAACGUGUGUGUUUGUGUGUGUAUAUAUAUAUAUACACUACCGUUCAAAAGUUUGGGGUCACUUAGAAAUUACCUUAUUUUUCAAAGAAAAGCACAGUUUCUUUCAAUGAAGAUAACA